RNAcentral lists this ribosomal RNA (348 nucleotides) under Triticum aestivum (bread wheat). Its description in RNAcentral is "partial small subunit ribosomal RNA". The record is from RNAcentral. Lineage: Eukaryota; Viridiplantae; Streptophyta; Magnoliopsida; Poales; Poaceae.
AUGACGGCUACGGCGACCGCUCCGGCGACUGCAACGAAGCUGGCGGCGGACGAGUACACUGCAGAGCUUGCGGGAGUGCCGGUGGGGGCGCCGGUGGGUGUGGCGGAGACCGCGGAGGGUGUCAUCGCAGAGGGAGCGUCGGUGGAAGGGGCCGGGGGAGAGGCCAUCGGGGACGGCGACGCGGCGGUGGGCGGGGUGGCGAGCGGCGCAGGGGCGGUGGCCGGGGACCUCGCCGGAGGCGCCGGUAGCGGGGCCAUCCUGGGCGCCGGCAUGGGGCCCUGCGCGGCGGUGGCGACGGCGAGGAGGGCGAUGAUGGCGGCGACCACGGCGAAGCGAGCCAUCUGGUAG